CAAUAUAAGUGAUGGCGACCGGCGCACGGGUGAGUAACACGUAUCCAACCUGCCGAUAACUCGGGGAUAGCCUUUCGAAAGAAAGAUUAGUACCCGAUGGCAUAUAUUUCCCGCAUGGGUUUUAUAUUAAAGAAAUUCGGUAUGAGAUGGGGAUGCGUUCCAUUAGUUUGUUGGGGGGGUAACGGCCCACCAAGACUACGAUGGAUAGGGGUUCUGAGAGGAAGGUCCCCCACAUUGGAACUGAGACACGGUCCAA
RNAcentral lists this ribosomal RNA (256 nucleotides) under uncultured bacterium. Its description in RNAcentral is "partial 16S ribosomal RNA". It matches the Rfam family "Bacterial small subunit ribosomal RNA", at positions 74 to 334 of the family's 1533-position model. The record is from RNAcentral.